GAGAAGCUUGCUUCUCUGAUGUUAGCGGCGGACCGGCGUGCAACACGCGGAUAACCCACCUCUAAAACUGGGCUUACUUCGGGAAACCGGGGCUACUACCGGGAAAUAUUUUUAAGCCCAUCGCUCAAACGCGACAGACGGUCCUGCCGUAUCUUAUAGA
Molecule: ribosomal RNA, 160 nt
Filed under: Staphylococcus aureus
Lineage: Bacteria; Bacillati; Bacillota; Bacilli; Caryophanales; Staphylococcaceae
Description: partial 16S ribosomal RNA
Source: RNAcentral